CUGCUGGAGAAGAAUUCUGCUCUCCUGUCAGAAUCUGAGAACUGGAAGGAAUCCACCUUUCCACAGUGCUUGGAGCAAGGGCCAAGGAUUUGGAUCUGGUUGUCUGCAACAACUACUACAAACCAGCUCGUGAAUGAAAGCUGGAUGAAUUUCCUGCCAGCCCUGUUCUGGUGAAGCAGCAAAUAAGGAGGGAGAACACUGCUUUUAAAGAGAUAACUCUAUUAAAACCCAUUUGGCUU
This is a non-coding RNA of Lonchura striata (white-rumped munia), 239 nucleotides long. NCBI's taxonomy places the organism in Eukaryota, Metazoa, Chordata, Aves, Passeriformes, Estrildidae. The record is from RefSeq and is a predicted model, not a curated record.